Molecule: long non-coding RNA, 201 nt
Organism: Cheilinus undulatus (humphead wrasse)
Lineage: Eukaryota; Metazoa; Chordata; Actinopteri; Labriformes; Labridae
Exons: 2
Source: RefSeq, a predicted model, not a curated record
GUCCAUCUCUGGUGUGUCCCAGAAGUGCCACUCCACUGUUCUUCGCUGGAGACAUGCACCAGCUGCUGUGUUGCUUUGUGCCAUUUCUCAUGCUGAUAGAGCGAGGACAUUUUUUAAAAUUUUCCUUCAUUUUUAGGUCAAGCUAUUUUACUUAUGCCACAUUUUGUGUGUCGUAAUAAAUGCAUAUCUGUUCCAAAUGUC